RNAcentral lists this unclassified non-coding RNA (218 nucleotides) under Hevea brasiliensis (rubber tree). The record is from RNAcentral. Lineage: Eukaryota; Viridiplantae; Streptophyta; Magnoliopsida; Malpighiales; Euphorbiaceae.
UAAGGAUUCUGAUUGGGAAGUUAGUCCGUUAGCUGAAAACUUUUGUUGGAAAAGGAUUGCAGAACCAGUGAUGAAACUAUAUACUGAGGCCACCGAUGGCUCAUACAUUGAGACCAAGGACAGUGCGUUGGUAUGGCACCAUCAAGACGCUGACCCUUAUUUUGGUUCAUGUCAGGCCAUGGAGCUUUUGGACCACCUUGAAAAUGUCCUUGCCAAUG